UACGGAGGAUGCAAGCGUUAUCCGGAAUCAUUGGGCGUAAAGCGUCCGCAGGUGGCUAGUCAAGUCUGCUGUUAAAGACAGAAGCUCAACUUCUGGUCGGCAGUGGAAACUGGCAAGCUUGAGUAUGGUAGGGGUUGAGGGAAUUCCCAGUGUAGCGGUGAAAUGCGUAGAUAUUGGGAAGAACACCAGUGGCGAAGGCGCUCAACUGGGCCAUAACUGACACUCAGGGACGAAAGCUAGGGUAGCGAAAGGG
Molecule: ribosomal RNA, 253 nt
Filed under: uncultured bacterium
Lineage: Bacteria
Description: partial 16S ribosomal RNA
Rfam family: Bacterial small subunit ribosomal RNA
Source: RNAcentral